RNAcentral lists this ribosomal RNA (272 nucleotides) under uncultured Pseudomonas sp. RNAcentral describes it as "partial 16S ribosomal RNA". It matches the Rfam family "Bacterial small subunit ribosomal RNA", at positions 1113 to 1382 of the family's 1533-position model. Lineage: Bacteria; Pseudomonadati; Pseudomonadota; Gammaproteobacteria; Pseudomonadales; Pseudomonadaceae. The record is from RNAcentral.
AGUUACCAGCACGUUAUGGUGGGCACUCUAAGGAGAACUGCCGGUGGACAAACCGGAGGAAGGUGGGGAUGACGUCAAGUCAUCAUGGCCCUUACGGCCUGGGCUACACACGUGCUACAAUGGUCGGUACAAAGGGUUGCCAAGCCGCGAGGUGGAGCUAAUCCCAUAAAACCGAUCGUAGUCCGGAUCGCAGUCUGCAACUCGACUGCGUGAAGUCGGAAUCGCUAGUAAUCGUGAAUCAGAAUGUCACGGUGAAUACGUUCCCGGGCCUU